RNAcentral lists this ribosomal RNA (207 nucleotides) under uncultured bacterium. Its description in RNAcentral is "partial 16S ribosomal RNA". It matches the Rfam family "Bacterial small subunit ribosomal RNA", at positions 568 to 774 of the family's 1533-position model. The record is from RNAcentral.
CGCGUAGGCGGCCUGGUAAGUCUGGAGUGAAAGUCCUGCUUUCAAGGUGGGAAUUGCUUUGGAUACUGCUAGGCUCGAGUGCAGGAGAGGAAAGCGGAAUUACCGGUGUAGCGGUGAAAUGCGUAGAGAUCGGUAGGAACACCAGUGGCGAAGGCGGCUUUCUGGACUGAAACUGACGCUGAGGCGCGAAAGCGUGGGGAGCAAACA